UACGUAGGGGGCAAGCGUUAUCCGGAAUCACUGGGCGUAAAGGGUGCGUAGGUGGUCCAUCAAGUCAGAAGUGAAAGGCAGUGGCUUAACCAUUGUAAGCUUUUGAAACUGACGGACUUGAGUGCAGGAGAGGUAAGUGGAAUUCCUAGUGUAGCGGUGAAAUGCGUAGAUAUUAGGAGGAACACCAGUGGCGAAGGCGACUUACUGGACUGUAACUGACACUGAGGCACGAAAGCGUGGGGAGCGAACA
RNAcentral lists this ribosomal RNA (250 nucleotides) under uncultured bacterium. RNAcentral's name for it is "partial 16S ribosomal RNA". It matches the Rfam family "Bacterial small subunit ribosomal RNA", at positions 524 to 774 of the family's 1533-position model. The record is from RNAcentral.